This 294-nucleotide ribosomal RNA is filed under the name uncultured archaeon. RNAcentral describes it as "partial 16S ribosomal RNA". It matches the Rfam family "Archaeal small subunit ribosomal RNA", at positions 342 to 640 of the family's 1478-position model. The record is from RNAcentral.
AGAAAUCCAAUCAAUGCGAGAAAUAUAAAUAAGGGAACAGCGACAGCCUGUAAAUUCGGGCGUUCCGUCAGUGUAAAUACAUGGUGAAGAAAGGGCCGGGCAAGACCGGUGCCAGCCGCCGCGGUAACACCGGCGGCUCGAGUGGUGAUCGGUAUUACUGGGUUUAAAGGGUCCGUAGCCGGGUUGUUAAGUCUCCUGGGAAAUCUGCCGGCUCAACCGAUGGGCGUUCAGGAGAUACUGUCAACCUAGGGACCGGGAGAGGUGAGGGGUACUCCAGGGGUAGGAGUGAAAUCC